This 1174-nucleotide long non-coding RNA is filed under the name Cottoperca gobio. Its description in RNAcentral is "lncRNA (ENSCGOG00000000657.1)". Lineage: Eukaryota; Metazoa; Chordata; Actinopteri; Perciformes; Bovichtidae. The record is from RNAcentral.
CUACAAGGUCCUGAAUUGUGAAUAAAAAUGGAAUCAUGUCCUUGUAAUUAAUGUGUAAUAAUAACUUUCCUGAUAUUAGAAAACACAGAAAGGAUAGAAAUGUUCUUACAUUAACUUAAAUACAUUGAUCUCCUAAUGAGGCCACAAUAUCUCAGCGUAUCAGGUUAAACAAGUUGACCUCUAAUGUGACUCUUACCUCUCCACAUCAGAACAAGACAGGCUGAACUGCAGGUGCACUCUGCACCAGAUGAUUAACGACAGGUUUUCAUUUCCCCUGGUUAAAAAUACAUUGAAGCAGGACUUCAAUUCCAGUAGGGACAGAGGGGAACAAAGCCACUCAGCAGUUCUGAGGCAGAACACCUGGAGACUGAGGUCGUUGACGCUCUGCCUGUAAAACUGAGCGGACGAGGGAUGAAUCUGUGAAACUCGACAUUAAACUGCUGCAUUUUAAAAUGAUUAUAUGUUUUUCUUCUUCUUCUUCUUCUUCUUCUUCUUCUUCUUCUUCUUCUUCUUCUUCUUCUUCUUCUUCUUCUUCUUCUUCUGUACACAAAUCAAAUGUGGACCACGUGUUACUAAAACCAGAUGUUUUAACCAAGUUUAAAUGUGAGUAAGGAGAGUUUUUUCCAUCGUCUCCUGGGAAAUGGAAGAUUUUUGUCUCAGACUAAAAGCGUCGCUGUGUAAUUCAAAGGUAGUUUCCUGACCUUUAUGACGAAUCCCAGACGGUCACAUGGCCACGUCUGUCACAAAACAUUGUUCCUCCAUCAUUGUUUGAGGUCUCAGAGACCCAAGUGCUGCAAAAUAUUUUCUAACCUGAAUAACAAUCAAUGUGUAGAUAAGUAUUAUUAAUAUGAAACAAUAGGGGUUGCACAUUUGAUGAAAAUAACAAAUAUAACCAAAAUGCAAUACACCAAAGAAGAAAAUUAUAAAGAAAUGUACAGUAGUGACGUACGUUUUGGGUCCCCAGAGAGGUCUCUCUAUCUAUAAGAGAAAUCACAGCACACUGAGCAGCACUAUCGUCCAAAACCCUUAUUUUAAAAAUUUUGGAGCAAACAUGCAUUCAUUUCUGUGGUGGACUUCUGAAAAGGUCAUCAGUUGAAACUCGUGUUUAUAAGACAGACUUCAAGUAUCAAGUUAAUAAAGAAAUCAACAAUAUUGUUAUGUUUUUUGAGUUUUU